AUGUUUUGGAAUAGAAGAGGUGUUUCAGCCUUGGCUAAACAUAAGCACUUCGAUGAUUGUGUGAGAGAUCAUGGGCUUAAUUUUGUGGCAAUUUCCAAUGCUAGUAAAUGUGACUUCCAUACGCAUGUCCUUGAUCACCUAUCAGGUGGUUUUGACUUCACAUGGCAUAGUAUACCAGCUUGUGGAAGGUCAAGAGGAAUCCUUCUUGGGGUACAAACCACAACCAUGGAUUUGUUAGCCUUUUUGACUGGUGAAUUUCACAUAAAAUUAGACCUACGAAACCAGGUUGAUAAUUUUAUAUGGAGCCUUGUCGCUCUCAAUGGGGCUGCCCAAGAUGAGCAUAAAUCUGCUUUCCUUUGGGAAUUGGUGAACCUAGCAAAGGAUAACCAGUAUCCAAUGAUUAUUGGAGGGGACUUUAAUAUCCUUAGAUACCAUGAAGAGAAAAACAAUGAUCGCGUCAACAAUCAGUGGACUUUUUUGUUCAACGAUAUGAUUGACAGUUUGAACCUUCGGGAAGCCAGUAUGUUGGGGCGGCAGUUCACUUGGGCCAAUAACCGAUAUGUGCCGACAUACGAGAAACUCGACAGGGUACUCAUGGAUACCAAAUGGGAGUUAAAAUAUCCUAUGGUAACUGCGCGGUCCCUAGAGCGUAUCGAGGCACUAUCGGAUCAUGCUCCCAUCAUUCUUGAUUCUAACUCCAUGAGCACAUCCACGCACCACCCUUUGAAGUUUGAAUUGGUAUGGUUAGACCGAAAUGGCUUUAGAGACAUAGUCAAGAAUGCAUGGGAGAGGCCUGCCAUUGGCCGUACGUUUGUUUAG
This 819-nucleotide ribosomal RNA is filed under the name Triticum aestivum (bread wheat). RNAcentral describes it as "partial small subunit ribosomal RNA". Lineage: Eukaryota; Viridiplantae; Streptophyta; Magnoliopsida; Poales; Poaceae. The record is from RNAcentral.